RNAcentral lists this ribosomal RNA (497 nucleotides) under uncultured bacterium. RNAcentral's name for it is "partial 16S ribosomal RNA". It matches the Rfam family "Bacterial small subunit ribosomal RNA", at positions 28 to 507 of the family's 1533-position model. The record is from RNAcentral.
GAUGAACGCUGGCGGCGUGCCUAAUACAUGCAAGUCGAGCGAACAGAUGAGGAGCUUGCUCCUCUGACGUUAGCGGCGGACGGGUGAGUAACACGUGGAUAACCUACCUAUAAGACUGGGAUAACUUCGGGAAACCGGAGCUAAUACCGGAUAAUAUAUUGAACCGCAUGGUUCAAUAGUGAAAGACGGUUUUGCUGUCACUUAUAGAUGGAUCCGCGCUGCAUUAGCUAGUUGGUAAGGUAACGGCUUACCAAGGCAACGAUGCGUAGCCGACCUGAGAGGAUGAUCGGCCACACUGGAACUGAGACACGGUCCAGACUCCUACGGGAGGCAGCAGUAGGGAAUCUUCCGCAAUGGGCGAAAGCUUGACGGAGCAACGCCGCGUGAGUGAUGAAGGUCUUCGGAUCGUAAAACUCUGUUAUUAGGGAAGAACAAAUGUGUAAGUAACUAUGCACGUCUUGACGGUACCUAAUCAGAAAGCCACGGCUAACUACGUG